GAUGAACGCUGGCGGCGUGCCUAAUACAUGCCAGUCGAGCGAACGGACGAGAAGCUUGCUUCUCUGAUGUUAGCGGCGGACGGGUGAGUAACACGUGGAUAACCUACCUAUAAGACUGGGAUAACUUCGGGAAACCGGAGCUAAUACCGGAUAAUAUUUUGAACCGCAUGGUUCAAAAGUGAAAGACGGUCUUUCUGUCACUUAUAGAUGGAUCCGCGCUGCAUUAGCUAGUUGGUAAGGUAACGGCUUACCAAGGCAACGAUGCAUAGCCGACCUGAGAGGGUGAUCGGCCACACGGGAAGUGAGACACGGUCCAGACGCCUACGGGAGGCAGCAGAAGGGAAUCUUACGCAAUGGGCGAAAGCCUGACGGAGCAACGCCGCGUGAGGGAUGAAGGUCUUCGGAUCGUAAAACUCUGUUAUGAGGGAAGAACAUAUGUGUAAGUAACUGUGCACAUCUUGACGGUACCUAAUCAGAAAGCCACGGCUAACUACGUG
RNAcentral lists this ribosomal RNA (497 nucleotides) under uncultured bacterium. Its description in RNAcentral is "partial 16S ribosomal RNA". It matches the Rfam family "Bacterial small subunit ribosomal RNA", at positions 28 to 507 of the family's 1533-position model. The record is from RNAcentral.